AUUGAACGCUGGCGGCAUGCCUUACACAUGCAAGUCGAACGGUAACAGGUCUUCGGAUGCUGACGAGUGGCGAACGGGUGAGUAAUACAUCGGAACGUGCCCGAUCGUGGGGGAUAACGGAGCGAAAGCUUUGCUAAUACCGCAUACGAUCUACGGAUGAAAGCAGGGGACCGCAAGGCCUUGCGCGGACGGAGCGGCCGAUGGCAGAUGAGGUAGUUGGUGGGAUAAAAGCUUACCAAGCCGACGAUCUGUAGCUGGUCUGAGAGGACGACCAGCCACACUGGGACUGAGACACGGCCCAGACUCCUACGGGAGGCAGCAGUGGGGAAUUUUGGACAAUGGGCGAAAGCCUGAUCCAGCCAUGCCGCGUGCAGGAUGAAGGCCUUCGGGUUGUAAACUGCUUUUGUACGGAACGAAAAGACUCUUUCUAAUAAAGAGGGUCCAUGACGGUACCGUAAGAAUAAGCACCGGCUAACUACGUGCCAGCAGCCGCAGUAA
Molecule: ribosomal RNA, 498 nt
Filed under: uncultured bacterium
Lineage: Bacteria
Description: partial 16S ribosomal RNA
Rfam family: Bacterial small subunit ribosomal RNA
Source: RNAcentral